Molecule: long non-coding RNA, 368 nt
Organism: Hyaena hyaena (striped hyena)
Lineage: Eukaryota; Metazoa; Chordata; Mammalia; Carnivora; Hyaenidae
Exons: 2
Source: RefSeq, a predicted model, not a curated record
AGCAUCCUGCGCGUCCAGCGCCCAGCGAGUCGCUCCUUGCGAUGUUAUAUGGUGCUCUCGCUGGGCCUCCUCUGUGUAGCCUCUUUUAUGUCCUUUCCUUUCUCCCAACAAGCCGACAACUGCAGCACAAAAUAUACCAGCAAGACUCUGCUUGAUAAAGCACUAAAAAAGGAUCUGGAGAUGGAUGUUACCUUAGCCCCACGUAAGCAUCGGAUGUCGAACACACUCAUUUCCUGAUCACCCAUGUUGACGUGAUUCUGGCUUCUCACUGCCGCUGCUGCUCCUUUGGGAAUGUGUGUGUUACCAUCACCUGCUCCAGUCCCUUUUGUGAAUGAUGAGAGAAAAUAUUAAAUAGAUUUUUUUAGGAA